AAAUCAGGUAGGACUACCCGCUGAACUUAAGCAUAUCAAUAAGCGGAGGAAAAGAAACUAACAAGGAUUCCCCUAGUAACUGCGAGUGAAGCGGGAAAAGCUCAAAUUUAAAAUCUGGCGGUCUUUGGCCGUCCGAGUUGUAGUCUGGAGAAGUGCUUUCCGCGCUGGACCGUCAAA
RNAcentral lists this ribosomal RNA (177 nucleotides) under Ganoderma lucidum. RNAcentral describes it as "partial 28S ribosomal RNA". It matches the Rfam family "Eukaryotic large subunit ribosomal RNA", at positions 8 to 182 of the family's 3401-position model. The record is from RNAcentral. Lineage: Eukaryota; Fungi; Basidiomycota; Agaricomycetes; Polyporales; Polyporaceae.